GAUGAACGCUGGCGGCGUGCCUAAUACAUGCAAGUCGAGCGAACGGACGCGAAGCUUGCUUCUCUGAUGUUAGCGGCGGACGGGUGAGUAACACGUGGAUAACCUACCUAUCAUUCUGGGAUAACUUCGGGAAACCGGAGCUUAUACCGGAUAAUAUUUUGAACCGCAUGGUUCAAAAGUGAAAGACGGUCUUGCUGUCACUUCUAGAUGGAUCCCCGCUGCAUUAGCUAGUUGGUAAGGUAACGGCUUACCAAGGCGACGAUGCAUAGCCGACCUGAGAGGGUGAUCGGCCACACGGGAACUGAGACACGGUCCAGACUCCUACGGGAGGCAGCAGUAGGGAAUCUUCCGCAAUGGGCGAAAGCCUGGCGGAGCAACGCCGCGUGAGUGAUGAAGGUCUUCGGAUCGUAAAACUCUGUUAUUAGGGAAGAACAUAUGUGUAAGUAACUGUGCACAUCUUGACGGUACCGAAUCAGAAAGCCACGGCUAACUACGUG
Molecule: ribosomal RNA, 497 nt
Filed under: uncultured bacterium
Lineage: Bacteria
Description: partial 16S ribosomal RNA
Rfam family: Bacterial small subunit ribosomal RNA
Source: RNAcentral